GAAGGGAAGGGCUUAUCACAGCCGACGGUCGGCUAUUCAUCCUCGAAAAGAAAGAAAAAUAAUAAUAACGGAGCACAGAUUAAGAUGGAAAUCUCUUGUGCGCCUGUGAUAGACGCGAGCGAGGACUAGCGCAUAAAGGGCGUGUCACAGCUUGUAACGUAGGUGUGCAUGGUUAGAUAUGUGGCACCUCUCUCUCCCGCUUGUUGUUGGCGAGCGAGAGAGAAAUUGGAAUGCAUGUACCAUGUUUAGAGUGACCCGCACACAUCCUCGAGGUGCAGUACGGCAGACGAAUC
This 293-nucleotide unclassified non-coding RNA is filed under the name Leishmania donovani. RNAcentral's name for it is "gene:unknown". Lineage: Eukaryota; Euglenozoa; Kinetoplastea; Trypanosomatida; Trypanosomatidae. The record is from RNAcentral.